AGUGAAGUUACAGUCCCAGCAGGAGAAGCGGUAGAACCAGAGAGGGAGAAACCACACAAUCUUCACAGCCACACUAGAGUCAUUGACAAGUGUUGAGCUAACAAUUAGGUGAAGAGAAGAUUCUACAAAAAUAAACAAGUGUUGCAUAUCUCUACAUCAACUUAAUGGUGAAGGUGAUGAAGAUCUAGAAGAGCAAGGUUGGUUCUUACUAAGGAAUGAGCCGUAGACCGGUAUUCUACCUCAGAAGUGGAAUACGUGGGUCGAUACACGAAGAAUAGAAUCGAUGAGAUUUUCAGAGAUACCAGGAAUGAUACUAAUAUUGAGAUGCCUUCGACUAAGUCUGAAUUAUUAUAAAACGAACGUAUUGUUGUGCCUACUGCUUUGGAUACUAAUAUUUUGCAGGCAUAUGAGAACAACCAAGGUAAUGAGGAAGAGAGGAAAGACGAAGAGGAAAAAGACCUAUCUAUAGCUCCAUUCUUGCUUGAAGAAUGUUCAAUUGACCAAGCGCCUAUAAUUUCUGAAGAUGAGAAAAAAAUGUAAUGAUAAUGGUGCUACAGCAACUCAAGGUACUUGCUUGGACGAAGGAAAAGAGGCCGAGCAUAACAAAUGCAUGUAAUAUCAAAGAAGUUGAUUAGGAACUAAACCAAUAUCUUCUCCAAGUUGACUUCAAGGGCAAUUUGGAGUCCAGGACCAGUCUACACUAAAACGGGCACCCAGGUCGCUUACGUGCUUGGAUUGGGGCGUUCUUUAUAUGGAUGGAAAGCUAAGAAGAUAACCGUUCCAAUGGUUUUGGUCCCACAUCCAAAUUCUUUCCAAGUCAACGGGAAUCGACCGAAUAAGUUGACAUCUAGAAUCUGUCCCGGCGCUGCGUUGAAGCCCAUUAGGGUUAUGUCAAGGGUUGGUUGCACGACCCUAAAUUCUAUAUAUAUCAGUACCCGCCGUCAUAUUUAGGGUUUGGGGUUUCACUUAGAUUAUUCUGUCAAGAACAGUUUCGCUGCUAAAUUGGUUUGUAAGACCCCAACUUGUGAGCUUAAUCAUUCAUCUGCAAUUUUGGUUGUAUUCUACCUUGUUCUUAUUUGUGUUCUUCGAUUGGCAAUCAUGGAUUAGCCUUCUCGGCAAGGUCAUCCGUGUUUCGGCACGGGUGAUAACCAGAGGACACGUGGUGCGGCUAUUGCGGGGCUCAAGAGCGUGCGCGUUCAAGAAGUCCGAUCGAUUUGUGUCGCGACUCCGCCCAAAUCGUUGUUUAUCAGAACCUUUUGGAAAAUCAGGAACCCUAGUCCACAUCAAUAAAGCUUAUGUGGAGUUCAGGGUAUGGAAAAGAGUACAGCAUUACCUGCAUCACAUAUAUUGCUUAGUUAAAUAAUCGAUCCAAGGAAAUACAAGACAUACUUUUUGUCAAGAAUGUGCAUGUGUAUGUGUAUGGUGAAUUUGUGGGUG
Molecule: non-coding RNA, 1437 nt
Organism: Oryza sativa Japonica Group (Japanese rice)
Lineage: Eukaryota; Viridiplantae; Streptophyta; Magnoliopsida; Poales; Poaceae
Source: RefSeq, a predicted model, not a curated record